This 373-nucleotide ribosomal RNA is filed under the name uncultured eukaryote. RNAcentral describes it as "partial 18S ribosomal RNA". It matches the Rfam family "Eukaryotic small subunit ribosomal RNA", at positions 592 to 976 of the family's 1831-position model. The record is from RNAcentral.
CAAUAGCGUAUAUUUAAGUUGUUGCAGUUAAAAAGCUCGUAGUUGGAUUUCGGUUGAGAACGGCCGGUCCGCCGUUUGGUGUGCACUGGCUGGUUUCAACUUCCUGUAGAGGACGUGCUCUGGCUUCACGGCUGGACGCGGAGUCUACGUGGUUACUUUGAAAAAAUUAGAGUGUUCAAAGCGGGCUUGCGCUUGAAUAUUUCAGCAUGGAAUAACACUAUAGGACUCCUGUCCUAUUUCGUUGGUCUCGGGACGGGAGUAAUGAUUAAGAGGAACAGUUGGGGGCAUUCGUAUUUCAUUGUCAGAGGUGAAAUUCUUGGAUUUAUGAAAGACGAACUUCUGCGAAAGCAUUUGCCAAGGAUGUUUUCAUUAA